AUUGAACGCUGGCGGCAGGCUUAACACAUGCAAGUCGAGCGGGGGAAGGUAGCUUGCUACCGGACCUAGCGGCGGACGGGUGAGUAAUGCUUAGGAAUCUGCCUAUUAGUGGGGGACAACAUCUCGAAAGGGAUGCUAAUACCGCAUACGUCCUACGGGGGAAAGCAGGGGAUCUUCGGACCUUGCGCUAAUAGAUGAGCCUAAGUCGGAUUAGCUAGUUGGUGGGGUAAAGGCCUACCAAGGCGACGAUCUGUAGCGGGUCUGAGAGGAUGAUCAGCCGCACUGAGACUGAGACACGGCCCAGACUCCUACGGGAGGCAGCAGUGGGGAAUCUUGGUCAAUGGGGGGAACCCUGAUCCAGCCAUGCCGCGUGUGUGAAGAAGGCCUUAUGGUUGUAAAGCACUUUAAGCGAGGAGGAGGCUACUCUAGUUAAUACCUAGGGAUAGUGGACGUUACUCGCAGAAUAAGCACCGGCUAACUCUGCGCCAGCCGCCGCGGUAA
This 501-nucleotide ribosomal RNA is filed under the name uncultured bacterium. Its description in RNAcentral is "partial 16S ribosomal RNA". It matches the Rfam family "Bacterial small subunit ribosomal RNA", at positions 30 to 523 of the family's 1533-position model. The record is from RNAcentral.